Molecule: ribosomal RNA, 504 nt
Filed under: uncultured bacterium
Lineage: Bacteria
Description: bacterial SSU rRNA
Rfam family: Bacterial small subunit ribosomal RNA
Source: RNAcentral
CUGGCUCAGGAUGAACGCUAGCGGCAGGCUUAACACAUGCAAGUCGAGGGGCAUCGGGAGUAGCAAUACUGCCGGCGACCGGCGCAAGGGUGCGUAACGCGUGAGCAACAUGCCCGUAUCAGGGGGAUAAUCCAUGGAAACGUGGUCUAAUACCCCAUAGUAAUUAUGUAAGGCAUCUUAUAUAAUUUAAAGCUUUGGUGGAUACGGAUUGGCUCGCGUGACAUUAGCUGGAUGGUAAGGUAACGGCUUACCAUGGCUACGAUGUCUAGGGGUUCUGAGAGGAAGGUCCCCCACACUGGAACUGAGACACGGUCCAGACUCCUACGGGAGGCAGCAGUGAGGAAUAUUGGACAAUGGAUGGAAAUCUGAUCCAGCCAUGCCGCGUGCAGGAAAGACGGCCCUAUGGGUUGUAAACUGCUUUUGUAUGGGAGCAAUAAGGGCUACGUGUAGUCCGAUGAGAGUACCAUACGAAUAAGCACCGGCUAACUCCGUGCCAGCAGCGGC